Molecule: ribosomal RNA, 489 nt
Filed under: uncultured Alphaproteobacteria bacterium
Lineage: Bacteria; Pseudomonadati; Pseudomonadota; Alphaproteobacteria
Description: bacterial SSU rRNA
Rfam family: Bacterial small subunit ribosomal RNA
Source: RNAcentral
GGCGGCAUGCCUAACACAUGCAAGUCGAACGAGACCUUCGGGUCUAGUGGCGCACGGGUGCGUAACGCGUGGGAAUCUGCCCUCUGGUACGGAAUAACUCAGGGAAACUUGAGCUAAUACCGUAUAAUGACUUCGGUCCAAAGAUUUAUCGCCUGAGGAUGAGCCCGCGUAGGAUUAGCUUGUUGGUGAGGUAAAAGCUCACCAAGGCGACGAUCCUUAGCUGGUCUGAGAGGAUGAUCAGCCACACUGGGACUGAGACACGGCCCAGACUCCUACGGGAGGCAGCAGUGGGGAAUAUUGGACAAUGGGCGAAAGCCUGAUCCAGCAAUGCCGCGUGAGUGAUGAAGGCCUUAGGGUUGUAAAGCUCUUUUACCCGGGAUGAUAAUGACAGUACCGGGAGAAUAAGCCCCGGCUAACUCCGUGCCAGCAGCCGCGGUAAUACGGAGGGGGCUAGCGUUGUUCCGGAAUUACUGGGCGUAAAGCGCACGU